This is a long non-coding RNA of Girardinichthys multiradiatus, 709 nucleotides long. RefSeq lists it as uncharacterized. Lineage: Eukaryota; Metazoa; Chordata; Actinopteri; Cyprinodontiformes; Goodeidae. The transcript has 4 exons. The record is from RefSeq and is a predicted model, not a curated record.
GGUUUAUUUGCCUCUCCUCACUCACUCUGACAGCCUGUCGGCGGUGAAACUGCUCAUAAACCUCGCUGGGAGUCUCACUUUCAUCUGCGAGAGCUGCUGGUGUGAGAGCUCCAUCUGCUGCUGAACUCAGCUGGGAAUCUUCACACUCUCUUACCAGCUUCAGUCAGCACCUUCGCAGUAUGGUGGCUGGACCUUCAUGUGGUGUAUAUACAGAUGGAUGUGACAUCUUCAGGCAUUUGAAAGGUGUAUCCAAAGAUGGACCAGAAUUGUGGCAGGGUGACCACAGCGCUGAUAAGGAGGGUGACAGGUGUCCCCCUGCUUCCAGCUGUGAUCAGAAACUCUGUGGUUUUUACUGAGAAAAUGCCCCGCUGCAGAGGUGAGAACCCACAGCUUCAAGCCAAACAGCUCCUUACCUCACUAAUGUUCAUCAUUGGCUCACUAUCAGCAUAUCACACCUUACACAGUAUAAUGUUGAGUAUGAAUGUAUAUAGUAGAAGACAUAAGUAAGCUUAGAUGCAAUAUUAUUCAUGUGACAGAUGACGCAAUAUCCUUUCAUGUCCACAAGUAAAACCAUACAAACAAAGAUUACUUGAUUAUUUUUUUAAUACAAAUAAAACACACUUAAACCUGUAAUUACAGGGAAUUCCUACUGGGAAGCACAGAGUUGGGCUGUAGCGAUAUGGGCAAUGGGAGCAAAAAUGGUUUUGAU